CACACUGCGCGAUACCUGCUGAAACAGCAGGUAUUAGCACAGCCAACCCUUGUCUAUUACUACCAUUCGUGAAUCCCUCGGCAGGGACGCCUGCCGCCGGGACCCCUAAACUCUACUGUAUACAAGCAUCAAAACAUUCUGAAUCAAAAACAAUUAUUA
RNAcentral lists this unclassified non-coding RNA (159 nucleotides) under uncultured Pleosporales. RNAcentral's name for it is "sequence contains ITS1". Lineage: Eukaryota; Fungi; Ascomycota; Dothideomycetes; Pleosporales. The record is from RNAcentral.